UACGGAGGGUGCAAGCGUUAUCCGGAUUUACUGGGUUUAAAGGGUGCGUAGGUGGUGAGGUAAGUCGGAUGUGAAAUCUCCGAGCUCAACUCGGAAAUGGCAUUGGAAACUACCUUGCUUGAGGGUUGGAGGGGGGACUGGAAUACUUGGUGUAGCAGUGAAAUGCGUAGAUAUCAAGUGGAACACCAGUGGCGAAGGCGAGUCCCUGGACAACUCCUGACACUGAGGCACGAAAGCUAGGGGAGCAAACAGG
This 253-nucleotide ribosomal RNA is filed under the name uncultured bacterium. Its description in RNAcentral is "partial 16S ribosomal RNA". It matches the Rfam family "Bacterial small subunit ribosomal RNA", at positions 524 to 776 of the family's 1533-position model. The record is from RNAcentral.